AUGAUGGCCACUGUCAUCCUUUUCUCUCGCCAGAUAUGCACAAGACUGUUACCUUGUGGAGAAAUGGAGACUGGAUUAUUUAAAAACUUCAAACAGCAAAGAGUCUUUCCAGAACUUUUUAAUGCUAAAAGGAAGAAAAAAUUUACCUGGUCAAAAUUUCUUCAGUAAACCCUCCACAAUUUUGGGACCAGUUUCUUGCACGGAUUCAGUUUCAUAGGAAUGUGACAGAAGCUCUUCUAUCUGUAUUCUCCUUCCUCUUUGGAUUUUAAAUAUUUUCUGUGGUGCGAAGUGACUUAUAUCCACAGAUACUGAGUAACUUCUUAUAACUUACACGCAAGACGUUGUUGUAAUAAGUACAUGUCCAAAAAGACUUUGGCAGUGAAAGGAUAUGAUGGAUGUAUAUAUGUGCAUUAUAUAUAUGUAUAUAUACACACACACACACACAUAUAUACAUC
Molecule: long non-coding RNA, 455 nt
Filed under: Fukomys damarensis (Damara mole-rat)
Lineage: Eukaryota; Metazoa; Chordata; Mammalia; Rodentia; Bathyergidae
Description: lncRNA (ENSFDAG00000032541.1)
Source: RNAcentral